GAUGAACGCUGGCGGCGUGCCUAAUACAUGCAAGUCGAGCGAACAGAUAAGGAGCUUGCUCCUUUGAAGUUAGCGGCGGACGGGUGAGUAACACGUGGGUAACCUACCUAUAAGACUGGGAUAACUUCGGGAAACCGGAGCUAAUACCGGAUAACAUUUAGAACCGCAUGGUUCUAAAGUGAAAGAUGGUUUUGCUAUCACUUAUAGAUGGACCCGCGCCGUAUUAGCUAGUUGGUAAGGUAACGGCUUACCAAGGCGACGAUACGUAGCCGACCUGAGAGGGUGAUCGGCCACACUGGAACUGAGACACGGUCCAGACUCCUACGGGAGGCAGCAGUAGGGAAUCUUCCGCAAUGGGCGAAAGCCUGACGGAGCAACGCCGCGUGAGUGAUGAAGGGUUUCGGCUCGUAAAACUCUGUUAUUAGGGAAGAGCAAAUGUGUAAGUAACUGUGCACAUCUUGACGGUACCUAAUCAGAAAGCCACGGCUAACUACGUG
This 497-nucleotide ribosomal RNA is filed under the name uncultured bacterium. RNAcentral's name for it is "partial 16S ribosomal RNA". It matches the Rfam family "Bacterial small subunit ribosomal RNA", at positions 28 to 507 of the family's 1533-position model. The record is from RNAcentral.